GUGGGGAAUAUUGGACAAUGGGCGAAAGCCUGAUCCAGCCAUGCCGCGUGUGUGAAGAAGGUCUUCGGAUUGUAAAGCACUUUAAGUUGGGAGGAAGGGCAUUAACCUAAUACGUUAGUGUUUUGACGUUACCGACAGAAUAAGCACCGGCUAACUUCGUGCCAGCAGCCGCGGUAAUACGAAGGGUGCAAGCGUUAAUCGGAAUUACUGGGCGUAAAGCGCGCGUAGGUGGUUCGUUAAGUUGGAUGUGAAAGCCCCGGGCUCAACCUGGGAACUGCAUCCAAAACUGGCGAGCUAGAGUACGGUAGAGGGUGGUGGAAUUUCCUGUGUAGCGGUGAAAUGCGUAGAUAUAGGAAGGAACACCAGUGGCGAAGGCGACUACCUGGACUGAUACUGACACUGAGGUGCGAAAGCGUGGGGAGCAAACAGGAUUAGAAACCCCGGUAGUCC
Molecule: ribosomal RNA, 450 nt
Filed under: uncultured bacterium
Lineage: Bacteria
Description: partial 16S ribosomal RNA
Rfam family: Bacterial small subunit ribosomal RNA
Source: RNAcentral